UACGUAGGGGGCUAGCGUUGUCCGGAAUCAUUGGGCGUAAAGCGCGUGUAGGCGGUCCGGUAAGUCCGCUGUGAAAGUCGGGGGCUCAACCCUCGGAUGCCGGUGGAUACUGUCGGGCUUGAGUACGGAAGAGGCGAGUGGAAUUCCUGGUGUAGCGGUGAAAUGCGCAGAUAUCAGGAGGAACACCAAUGGCGAAGGCAGGUCUCUGGGCCGAUACUGACGCUGAGGAGCGAAAGCGUGGGGAGCGAACAGG
This 253-nucleotide ribosomal RNA is filed under the name uncultured bacterium. RNAcentral's name for it is "partial 16S ribosomal RNA". It matches the Rfam family "Bacterial small subunit ribosomal RNA", at positions 524 to 776 of the family's 1533-position model. The record is from RNAcentral.